CCGGUUAGUAAGGUGGGCAGUUUAAUGUCGGAUGAGCAGUGUUGGUCUGGGGGGGUUGCACUAAUUCCUGGGGAAUGUUAUGUGUGCGUAAAUGACAAGAAACCACACACACACCCACACACACCUAUGUACACUCGCUGUGUUUACAGCCCCAGGAAUUGAGUGGUGACAAUAAAGUGCCUCAAACGGAACCUCAAGCUCCCUUCUUAUUUCCUACUCUGGGAUUCUUUGGCCUUAAGUGGUGUUCUGGCCGACACACCGGGGUGACCGUAGUGCUCCAAGUCUGAAUCAGUGCCACAGCCGUGCCUCUCUUUGAUAUCUCCACUACAGAAUUGUUAACGUAUUUACUUUAAUUCCAAUUCAGGUUAGAAAUUUUUUUUUUGUGCCCAAUGCAGAUUUUUUUCUGCGCAGAGACCGUGCCAGCAGUGCACAAUUGCGCAGGAGGAUGGGCCCAUCUCCCCCUUUCAGGCUGUGCCUGGCUGGGCCCCAGAGACUAAGGCCCUGCCACUAGACGCUCGCCCUUCGGCACCCUCCCUGGGCCUGGCUCCAGGGCAGGGCAUUGGUAACCCUAUCCCGGGCAGGGUGAACUGUUCCUGUGGGUAUGAGAAUAAGCAUGUCCAAAUCUGAGGCCAUAGUCCUCAGCUGGAAAAGGGUGCAGUGCCACUCCGGGUCAUGGAGGAGUUCCUGCCUUGAGUGAAGGACUUUAAGUAUCUCGGGGUCUUGUUCACGGCUGCAGUGAUGUGGACGAUGUACUGGUCCAUCUUGGUGAAGAGAGAGCUGAGUGUAAAAGCGAAGCUCUCGAUUUACCAGUCGGGCUAUGUUGCUACCCUCACCCUAGAUUCAAGUUUCAAGAUUUAACAUUCAAAGUGUUUAUUGUCGUAUGUACAGAAGAAAUAGCAUUUUUCUGUGCAAUGAAAUUCUUCCUUUGCUGUCCAUACACAAAUGCCAAGUUAGGUAAGGGUUAAAAGAACAAGAUAAAAAUAAGGAUAAAAAAUAAUGCAAGAUAAAUAAGUACAAAAAGUGUCCUGAUGUGCAAUUGCAGCUGAGGUAGGUCAGCUGUUCAGGAGUCUGAUAGCAGUGGGGAAGAAAGAGUUGUUGAGUCAGGAUGUUCUGGAUUUCACACUUCCUAAACCUUCCUUUCAGGGUGGAGCCUGCUGGAGUCCGAUGGUUGAGACCAGGUCUGAGGAAGUAUUCCUGUCAACUCACAAUCGACACAAACACAGUACACAGAAAGCUCCAACUGUCUCACAAAAACAGGAAGGUGACACGUGUGAAGAAGGUUCAGUCAUAUCCUGAUCAUCCAGACAGAUUUCAUGUUCAUGAACAGCUGCUGUGUGAAAAUGGUUUGACUGGUCGCUGUUACUGGGAGGUCGAGUGGAGAGGAAACGUUUAUAUAUCAGUGAGUUACAGAAGCAUCAGAAGGAAAGGAGACAGUGACGACUGUAUGUUUGGAUGGAAUGAUCAGUCCUGGAAUCUGUUCUGCUAUGAAGUUCGUCCUAGUUGUGUAUGGCACAAUAACAAAGUAACAUACAUCUCCUCCUCCUCCUCUGUCUCUAACAGAGCAGCAGUGUAUGUGGACUGUCCUGCUGGCACUCUGUCCUUCUACAGA
Oreochromis niloticus (Nile tilapia) is the source of this 1609-nucleotide long non-coding RNA. RefSeq lists it as uncharacterized. NCBI's taxonomy places the organism in Eukaryota, Metazoa, Chordata, Actinopteri, Cichliformes, Cichlidae. The record is from RefSeq and is a predicted model, not a curated record. The transcript is spliced from 3 exons.